GACGAACGCUGGCGGCGUGCUUAACACAUGCAAGUCGAACGGUAACACGCCUUCCUUUUUGGUUUGUGUGGAUGAGUGCCGAACGGGUGAGUAAGACGUGAGUAACCUGCCCCCUUCUUCUAGAUCACCGCAUAACGGUGUGGCUAAUCCGGUAUCUUCUGGGUCUCUCGCAUGAUGGGUUUGGGACAGCUCUUGUUUCGUUGGGGGCUGGUCCCACUUGGUAUCAGCUAGUUUGUGGGGUGACGGCCUACCCAGGCGGCGACGGCUAGCUGGUCUGAGAGGAUGAGCAGCCACACUAGAACGGAGACACGGUCCAGACGCCUACGGGAGGCAGCAGUGGGGAAUAUUACACAAUGGGCGCAAGCCUGAUGCAGCCAUGCCGCGUGUAUGAAGAAGGCCUUCGGGUUGUAAAGUACUUUCAGCGGGGAGGAAGGGAGUAAAGUUAAUACCUUUGCUGAUUGACGUUACCCGCAGAAGAAGCACCGGCUAACUACGUG
This 497-nucleotide ribosomal RNA is filed under the name uncultured bacterium. RNAcentral's name for it is "partial 16S ribosomal RNA". It matches the Rfam family "Bacterial small subunit ribosomal RNA", at positions 28 to 507 of the family's 1533-position model. The record is from RNAcentral.